CUACGGGGAGCUGCAGUGGGGGAUAUUGCACAAUGGGCGAAAGCCUGAUGCAGCAACGCCGCGUGAGGGAAGACGGUUUUCGGAUUGUAAACCUCUGUCCUUGGUGACGAAACAAAUGACGGUAGCCAAGGAGGAAGCCACGGCUAACUACGUGCCAGCAGCCGCGGUAAUACGUAGGUGGCGAGCGUUGUCCGGAAUUACUGGGUGUAAAGGGAGCGCAGGCGGGUCAGCAAGUUGGAUGUGAAAUGCCGCAGCUUAACUGCGGAGCUGCAUCCAAAACUGUUGAUCUUGAGUGGAGUAGAGGCAAGCGGAAUUCCGAGUGUAGCGGUGAAAUGCGUAGAUAUUCGGAGGAACACCAGUGGCGAAGGCGGCUUGCUGGGCUCUAACUGACGCUGAGGCUCGAAAGUGUGGGGAGCAAACAGGAUUAGAUACCCGUGUAGUC
RNAcentral lists this ribosomal RNA (442 nucleotides) under uncultured bacterium. RNAcentral describes it as "partial 16S ribosomal RNA". It matches the Rfam family "Bacterial small subunit ribosomal RNA", at positions 339 to 795 of the family's 1533-position model. The record is from RNAcentral.